AGAGUUUGAUCCUGGCUCAGGAUUAACGCUGGCGGCGUGCAUAAAACAUGCAAGUCGAGCGCGGUUUUCAGACUUCGGUUUGAAAAUCUAGCGGCGAACGGGUGAGUAACACGUGAGCAACCUACCUUAGAGCCCGGGAUAGCUCUGGGAAACCAGAAUUAAUACCGGAUGAAGUUGCAAUGAGACAUCUCGUUGUAAAA
RNAcentral lists this ribosomal RNA (200 nucleotides) under uncultured bacterium. Its description in RNAcentral is "partial 16S ribosomal RNA". It matches the Rfam family "Bacterial small subunit ribosomal RNA", at positions 8 to 203 of the family's 1533-position model. The record is from RNAcentral.